AUAAGGUGUCUGAUAAAAGUGAUAAAUUGUAAAUUUAUUUAUAGAAUUAUUUUCUCUUUAUUA
RNAcentral lists this transfer RNA (63 nucleotides) under Monomachus antipodalis. Its description in RNAcentral is "tRNA-Tyr". Lineage: Eukaryota; Metazoa; Arthropoda; Insecta; Hymenoptera; Monomachidae. The record is from RNAcentral.